RNAcentral lists this ribosomal RNA (550 nucleotides) under uncultured bacterium. Its description in RNAcentral is "bacterial SSU rRNA". It matches the Rfam family "Bacterial small subunit ribosomal RNA", at positions 44 to 543 of the family's 1533-position model. The record is from RNAcentral.
ANGCUUAACACAUGCAAGUCGAGCGGGGGAGGGUAGCUUGCUACCUGACCUAGCGGCGGACGGGUGAGUAAUGCUUAGGAAUCUGCCUAUUAGUGGGGGACAACAUCUCGAAAGGGAUAGCUAAUACCGCAUACGUCCUACGGGAGAAAGCAGGGGAUCUNUCGGACCUUGCGCUAAUAGAUAGAGCCUAAGUCGGAUUAGCUAGUUGGUGGGGUAAAGGCCUACCAAGGCGACGAUCUGUAGCGGGUCUGAGAGGAUGAUCCGCCACACUGGGACUGAGACACGGCCCAGACUCCUACGGGAGGCAGCAGUAGGGGAAUAUUGGGCAAUGGGGGGAACCCUGAUCCAGCCAUGCCGCGUAGUGUAGAAGAAGGCCUUAUGGUUGUAAAGUACUUUUCAGCGGGGGAGGAAGGUGUGAGGUUAAUAACCUUCAGCAAUUUGACGUUACCCGCAGAAGAAGCACCGGCUAACUCCGUGCCCAGCAAGCCCGCGGGUAUACGGAGGGUGCAGGCGUUAAAUCCGGGACAUUACUGGGCCGUAAAAGCGGCAA